Molecule: ribosomal RNA, 430 nt
Filed under: Chloroflexota bacterium
Lineage: Bacteria; Bacillati; Chloroflexota
Description: Chloroflexi bacterium partial 16S ribosomal RNA
Rfam family: Bacterial small subunit ribosomal RNA
Source: RNAcentral
UGGGGAAUAUUGCACAAUGGGCGCAAGCCUGAUGCAGCCAUGCCGCGUGUAUGAAGAAGGCCUUCGGGUUGUAAAGUACUUUCAGUCGGGAGGAAGGUGUCAAGGUUAAUAACCUUUGCUCAUUGACGUUACCCGCAGAAGAAGCACCGGCUAACUCCGUGCCAGCAGCCGCGGUAAUACGGAGGGUGCAAGCGUUAAUCGGAAUUACUGGGCGUAAAGCGCACGCAGGCGGUUUGUUAAGUCAGAUGUGAAAUCCUCGGGCUCAACCUGGGAACUGCAUCUGAUACUGGCAAGCUUGAGUCUCGUAGAGGGGGGUAGAAUUCCAGGUGUAGCGGUGAAAUGCGUAGAGAUCUGGAGGAAUACCGGUGGCGAAGGCGGCCCCCUGGACGAAGACUGACGCUCAGGUGCGAAAGCGUGGGGAGCAAACAGG